Molecule: ribosomal RNA, 253 nt
Filed under: uncultured bacterium
Lineage: Bacteria
Description: partial 16S ribosomal RNA
Rfam family: Bacterial small subunit ribosomal RNA
Source: RNAcentral
UACAGAGGGUGCAAGCGUUGUUCGGAAUUAUUGGGCGUAAAGCGCGUGUAGGCGGCUUUGCAAGUCGGGUGUGAAAGCCCUCAGCUCAACUGAGGAAGUGCGCCCGAAACUGCAGAGCUUGAGUGCCGGAGAGGGUAGCGGAAUUCCCCAAGUAGAGGUGAAAUUCGUAGAUAUGGGGAGGAACACCGGUGGCGAAGGCGGCUACCUGGACGGCAACUGACGCUGAGACGCGAAAGCGUGGGUAGCAAACAGG